RNAcentral lists this ribosomal RNA (450 nucleotides) under Augusta glyphica. RNAcentral describes it as "partial 16S large subunit ribosomal RNA". It matches the Rfam family "Bacterial large subunit ribosomal RNA", at positions 1821 to 2601 of the family's 2925-position model. Lineage: Eukaryota; Metazoa; Arthropoda; Arachnida; Araneae; Araneidae. The record is from RNAcentral.
UUCUUACUGAAUUAAAAGUAAGUAAUAUCUGCUCAAUGAAAUUUAAAUAGCCGCGGAAACUUAACUGUGCUAAGGUAGCAUAAUCAUUAGCCUUUUAAUUAAAGGCUCGCAUGAAAGAUAAAACAUUUUAUUUACUAUAAUUAUUUAAUUAUUUUAAACUUUAAUUAAGAAUAAAAAUAUUCUUAUAUAAAAAAAAGACGACAAGACCCUAUUGAACUUUACUAAAGUUUAGCUGGGGUAGCUAUAAAAAUAUUAUUUUCUAUAAUAUGCAUAUAUUUUAGAAGAACCAAUAUAAUUGACUUUUCGAAAAAGUUACCAUAGGGAUAACAGCGUAAUAUUUUUUUGAAGCUCUUAUUUUUAAAAAAGAUUGCGACCUCGAUGUUGAAUUAGUGUAACUUAUUAAUGCAAUAAUUAUUAAAGUAGGUCUGUUCGACCUAUAAAACACUACAU